RNAcentral lists this unclassified non-coding RNA (281 nucleotides) under Metrosideros diffusa. Its description in RNAcentral is "partial external transcribed spacer". The record is from RNAcentral. Lineage: Eukaryota; Viridiplantae; Streptophyta; Magnoliopsida; Myrtales; Myrtaceae.
UUGGAUGCAAAAAAUGGGUUCCUGUGUUGCAUACCUAUUGCGAUGGAAAUUUGUCCAUUUCGUUGUCCCUUUCGUCACAACAUCCUUCUGGAUGCUUUGUCGGACUAGAUAGUAGGGCUCGUGUUCCACGAACCAUCUCAUGUGAUCGUUCGAAUGGACCAYGAGCGCCUACUCGUUCUCUCGGAUGCGGAACUCACUUCAUGGGUAUGGGCUCAUUGCCCUUUGUUCCCAAAUCUUUAAGCGUUCGUCGCUUUAUCGGAAUGACGCUCUUGCCUUGUCUU